AGGCGUGUGGUGUAGUUUGGGAACAUCCCGGGCUCUCAUUAUCUGGCACCCGGAGUCGUCGGUUCGACCCCGACCAUGCCUA
Xylaria bambusicola is the source of this 82-nucleotide non-coding RNA. Lineage: Eukaryota; Fungi; Ascomycota; Sordariomycetes; Xylariales; Xylariaceae. The record is from the annotation of a RefSeq genome assembly.